Molecule: ribosomal RNA, 235 nt
Filed under: Citrobacter freundii
Lineage: Bacteria; Pseudomonadati; Pseudomonadota; Gammaproteobacteria; Enterobacterales; Enterobacteriaceae
Also listed under: 4 other names
Description: partial 23S ribosomal RNA
Rfam family: Bacterial large subunit ribosomal RNA
Source: RNAcentral
AGUGGACGCAUCACUGGUGUUCGGGUUGUCAUGCCAAUGGCAUUGCCCGGUAGCUAAAUGCGGAAGAGAUAAGUGCUGAAAGCAUCUAAGCACGAAACUUGCCCCGAGAUGAGUUCUCCCUGAGACUAUAAGUCUCCUGAAGGAACGUUAAAGACGAUGACGUUGAUAGGUCGGGUGUGUAAGUGUAGCGAUACAUUGAGCUAACCGAUACUAAUGAACCGUGAGGCUUAACCUU